This 2280-nucleotide ribosomal RNA is filed under the name Salmonella enterica subsp. enterica serovar Heidelberg. RNAcentral's name for it is "bacterial LSU rRNA". It matches the Rfam family "Bacterial large subunit ribosomal RNA", at positions 620 to 2925 of the family's 2925-position model. Lineage: Bacteria; Pseudomonadati; Pseudomonadota; Gammaproteobacteria; Enterobacterales; Enterobacteriaceae. The record is from RNAcentral.
UCAGCGACUUAUAUUCUGUAGCAAGGUUAACCGUAUAGGGGAGCCGGAGGGAAACCGAGUCUUAAUUGGGCGUUAAGUUGCAGGGUAUAGACCCGAAACCCGGUGAUCUAGCCAUGGGCAGGUUGAAGGUUGGGUAACACUAACUGGAGGACCGAACCGACUAAUGUUGAAAAAUUAGCGGAUGACCUGUGGCUGGGGGUGAAAGGCCAAUCAAACCGGGAGAUAGCUGGUUCUCCCCGAAAGCUAUUUAGGUAGCGCCUCGUGAAUUCAUCUCCGGGGGUAGAGCACUGUUUCGGCUAGGGGGCCAUCCCGGCUUACCAACCCGAUGCAAACUGCGAAUACCGGAGAAUGUUAUCACGGGAGACACACGGCGGGUGCUAACGUCCGUCGUGAAGAGGGAAACAACCCAGACCGCCAGCUAAGGUCCCAAAGUCAUGGUUAAGUGGGAAACGAUGUGGGAAGGCCCAGACAGCCAGGAUGUUGGCUUAGAAGCAGCCAUCAUUUAAAGAAAGCGUAAUAGCUCACUGGUCGAGUCGGCCUGCGCGGAAGAUGUAACGGGGCUAAACCAUGCACCGAAGCUGCGGCAGCGANNUGCUGGAGGUAUCAGAAGUGCGAAUGCUGACAUAAGUAACGAUAAAGCGGGUGAAAAGCCCGCUCGCCGGAAGACCAAGGGUUCCUGUCCAACGUUAAUCGGGGCAGGGUGAGUCGACCCCUAAGGCGAGGCCGAAAGGCGUAGUCGAUGGGAAACGGGUUAAUAUUCCCGUACUUGGUGUUACUGCGAAGGGGGGACGGAGAAGGCUAUGUUGGCCGGGCGACGGUUGUCCCGGUUUAAGCGUGUAGGUGUGUGUUCCAGGUAAAUCCGGUUCACUUUAACACUGAGGCGUGACGACGAGGCACUACGGUGCUGAAGCAACAAAUGCCCUGCUUCCAGGAAAAGCCUCUAAGCAUCAGGUAACAUCAAAUCGUACCCCAAACCGACACAGGUGGUCAGGUAGAGAAUACCAAGGCGCUUGAGAGAACUCGGGUGAAGGAACUAGGCAAAAUGGUGCCGUAACUUCGGGAGAAGGCACGCUGACACGUAGGUGAAGUGAUUUACUCAUGGAGCUGAAGUCAGUCGAAGAUACCAGCUGGCUGCAACUGUUUAUUAAAAACACAGCACUGUGCAAACACGAAAGUGGACGUAUACGGUGUGACGCCUGCCCGGUGCCGGAAGGUUAAUUGAUGGGGUCAGCGCAAGCGAAGCUCCUGAUCGAAGCCCCGGUAAACGGCGGCCGUAACUAUAACGGUCCUAAGGUAGCGAAAUUCCUUGUCGGGUAAGUUCCGACCUGCACGAAUGGCGUAAUGAUGGCCAGGCUGUCUCCACCCGAGACUCAGUGAAAUUGAACUCGCUGUGAAGAUGCAGUGUACCCGCGGCAAGACGGAAAGACCCCGUGAACCUUUACUAUAGCUUGACACUGAACAUUGAGCCUUGAUGUGUAGGAUAGGUGGGAGGCUUUGAAGUGUGGACGCCAGUCUGCAUGGAGCCGACCUUGAAAUACCACCCUUUAAUGUUUGAUGUUCUAACGUGGACCCGUAAUCCGGGUUGCGGACAGUGUCUGGUGGGUAGUUUGACUGGGGCGGUCUCCUCCUAAAGAGUAACGGAGGAGCACGAAGGUUGGCUAAUCCUGGUCGGACAUCAGGAGGUUAGUGCAAUGGCAUAAGCCAGCUUGACUGCGAGCGUGACGGCGCGAGCAGGUGCGAAAGCAGGUCAUAGUGAUCCGGUGGUUCUGAAUGGAAGGGCCAUCGCUCAACGGAUAAAAGGUACUCCGGGGAUAACAGGCUGAUACCGCCCAAGAGUUCAUAUCGACGGCGGUGUUUGGCACCUCGAUGUCGGCUCAUCACAUCCUGGGGCUGAAGUAGGUCCCAAGGGUAUGGCUGUUCGCCAUUUAAAGUGGUACGCGAGCUGGGUUUAGAACGUCGUGAGACAGUUCGGUCCCUAUCUGCCGUGGGCGCUGGAGAACUGAGGGGGGCUGCUCCUAGUACGAGAGGACCGGAGUGGACGCAUCACUGGUGUUCGGGUUGUCAUGCCAAUGGCACUGCCCGGUAGCUAAAUGCGGAAGAGAUAAGUGCUGAAAGCAUCUAAGCACGAAACUUGCCCCGAGAUGAGUUCUCCCUGAGACUUAGAGUCUCCUGAAGGAACGUUGAAGACGACGACGUUGAUAGGCCGGGUGUGUAAGCGCAGCGAUGCGUUGAGCUAACCGGUACUAAUGAACCGUGAGGCUUAACCUUACAACGCCGAAG